RNAcentral lists this ribosomal RNA (241 nucleotides) under uncultured bacterium. Its description in RNAcentral is "partial 16S ribosomal RNA". It matches the Rfam family "Bacterial small subunit ribosomal RNA", at positions 92 to 334 of the family's 1533-position model. The record is from RNAcentral.
CGACCGGCGCACGGGUGAGUAACGCGUAUGCAACCUGCCCGAUACCGGGGUAUAGCCCAUGGAAACGUGGAUUAACACCCCAUAGUACUUUUAUCCUGCAUGGGAUGUGAGUUAGAUGUUCAAGGUAUCGGAUGGGCAUGCGUCCUAUUAGUUAGUUGGCGGGGUAACAGCCCACCAAGACGAUGAUAGGUAGGGGUUCUGAGAGGAAGGUCCCCCACAUUGGAACUGAGACACGGUCCAA